CUAGCCCUCCUGUCCCAUCCUUCCCGAUCGCCGCCGCCACCCACUCACCAUCUUCCUCGGGAUCUUUCUGAUCCUACCACCCACCCCUCCUCGAUUUCAGCCACCGGCCAGUCGCCUUCGAACCUACCCAACCGUCGCUCUCCUUUGGAUCCCCUCGACUCACCAACCAGUGACAGAAACACCCGCAGGAGAGAGCCAGGGGCUCGAUCCCUUGUUCAUGCCCGAGCUUCUCCAACCUCCGCGUCAUCCCGCUCCUCUGCAUCGCCAGCUACACGGUCCUCCCCUCGCGCAACACCUCCUCGCCGUCCGGCAAAUAACCCCGUAGCCCCUACCCUUCCUCUUUCCCAUUUCCUUCUCCUCCCUCCUGUAAUCACUCUCUUCCUCUGGUCUCUCACCUCUCGAACCCUCUCUCUUCUCUUCUACAGGAGCUUCGGCCGCCGCGCCAUGGAUGACCAUGGUGCUCCACGCCGGCGCCACCGGACCACCCUCUCCGUCAGUGUCGAGCCGCCUCUCGCCAUCGUCUGCUCGCGCCUGAGCCAAGAGUCUCAACGCCCCGCUUGACCUUCAGCCGCAGCCCCAUCUGGCCUCUGCUUCGCCAUGACCGCACCUCUGCUUCGCUCGAGCAGAGGCGAAUGAACCGCGCCGCUCCAGCGACCCCGUGUCCCUGCCGACAAGGUCUGCCGCCUCGGACGCCCUGGCAUGGCGUCUGAACCCCGCCGUCCUCGUCCGUCGCGCUGCCGGCGACCAAGCCGCCUGAGUCACAGUGCUGCCUCCCCUGCUCUAUGUGCGAGCACGGAGGAUGAGGACGACAACACCAAGUCCAAGCCGCAUCGCCCGGUUCCUGCCGUUCUGCACCAUCCCCGCCGCCGUGCGAAGGUCCAGCCACCCUCAUCCUCGCCGUACCUGCAAGCAGCUUCGCUGCGCCCUGCAACUCCGCUCGUGCGAGGCGUUGACCAGACGAGCCGCUCGCCCCGCGCCUCCUUUGGCAUCACGCGCGUUGACCCCUGCGGUCCUCGCUUCGAGCCGGAGGUAGCAGUCAACCGCAUCGCCAGCCGCAGUCCCGCUGCCGUGGCCUCCUGCAUCGCUGGUGUCCUUUGCAUCGUAGCAGUUGCAAAGGAGGACGAGCGCCUCGACCCCCUGCAUCGCUAGCACCGAUGGGCCGUGCCUCCCUGUGCCAACGCUGGCCCAACCGCUGCCUCAACCGGCCUCCUCUGCUUCCAUCUGGGCCAUGGCCCAUGUUGCGCUUCUCCUUGAUAGUUCCGGUUACGUUGCGAUUAUGAGGAUUCGUUCGACUAUGUUGCUUCGUCUACCUCAUGGAUUCAGUCUUCUUCCUAGCGGGAUUUCCGGCCAGAUGACCGUCACCCUGGAUCUCACUACUACCUUUGCUAUGCUAGUUGUCUCGCUCUAUCGCUAUGUCGCACUACCUAUCUAUUGCUUGUUAGCCUCCUACAUUGCCAUGAAACCUCUAACCACCCUCCUAGCAAACUGUUGAUUGGCUAAGAUACGCUUUUGCUCAGCCCCUCUUAUAACAUUGUUAGUUGUAGGGGAAGUUGAAGAUUGCUCCAUGUCGGAACAUGGAUAUUUUUGGAA
Molecule: long non-coding RNA, 1590 nt
Organism: Triticum dicoccoides
Lineage: Eukaryota; Viridiplantae; Streptophyta; Magnoliopsida; Poales; Poaceae
Exons: 2
Source: RefSeq, a predicted model, not a curated record